RNAcentral lists this ribosomal RNA (253 nucleotides) under uncultured bacterium. RNAcentral's name for it is "partial 16S ribosomal RNA". It matches the Rfam family "Bacterial small subunit ribosomal RNA", at positions 524 to 776 of the family's 1533-position model. The record is from RNAcentral.
GACGUAGGGCGCGAGCGUUGUCCGGAUUUAUUGGACGUAAAGAGCUCGUAGGCGGCUUGUCGCGUCGGCUGUGAAAACCCGCGGCUCAACUGUGGGCGGGCAGCUGAUACGGGCAGGCUCGAGUUCGGUAGGGGAGACUGGAAUUCCUGGUGUAGCGGUGAAAUGCGCAGAUAUCAGGAGGAACACCGAUGGCGAAGGCAGGUCUCUGGGCCGAUACUGACGCUGAGGAGCGAAAGCGUGGGGAGCGAACAGG